GCACGGGGGCAACCCUGGUGGCGAGUGGCGAACGGGUGAGUAAUACAUCGGAACGUGUCCUGUCGUGGGGGAUAACCAGUCGAAAGACUGGCUAAUACCGCAUGAGAUCGGAAGAUGAAAGCGGGGGACCGCAAGGCCUCGCGCGACAGGAGCGGCCGAUGCCGGAUUAGCCAGUUGGUGGGGUAAAAGCCCACCAAGGCGACGAUCCGUAGCUGGUUUGAGAGAACGACCAGCCACACUGGGACUGAGACACGGCCCAGACUCCUACGGGAGGCAGCAGUGGGGAAUUUUGGACAAUGGGCGCAAGCCUGAUCCAGCCAUGCCGCGUGUGUGAAGAAGGCCUUCGGGCUGUAAAGCACUUUCGGACGGAACGAAAUCGCGCGGGCGAAUAUCCCGCGUGGAUGACGGUACCGUAAGAAGAAGCACCGGCUAACUACGUGCCAGCAGCCGCGGUAAUA
RNAcentral lists this ribosomal RNA (458 nucleotides) under uncultured bacterium. RNAcentral's name for it is "bacterial SSU rRNA". It matches the Rfam family "Bacterial small subunit ribosomal RNA", at positions 71 to 525 of the family's 1533-position model. The record is from RNAcentral.